AGAGUUUGAUCCUGGCUCAGGAUGAACGCUAGCUACAGGCUUAACACAUGCAAGUCGAGGGGCAGCAUGAACUUAGCUUGCUAAGUUUGAUGGCGACCGGCGCACGGGUGAGUAACACGUAUCCAACCUGCCGAUGACUCGGGGAUAGCCUUUCGAAAGAAAGAUUAAUACCCGAUGGCAUAGUUCUUCCGCAUGGUAGAACUAUUAAAGAAUUUCGGUCAUCGAUGGGGAUGCGUUCCAUUAGGUUGUUGGCGGGGUAACGGCCCACCAAGCCUUCGAUGGAUAGGGGUUCUGAGAGGAAGGUCCCCCACAUUGGAACUGAGACACGGUCCAAACUCCUACGGGAGGCAGCAGUGAGGAAUAUUGGUCAAUGGACGAGAGUCUGAACCAGCCAAGUAGCGUGAAGGAUGACUGCCCUAUGGGUUGUAAACUUCUUUUAUACGGGAAUAAAGUGAGGCACGUGUGCCUUUUUGUAUGUACCGUAUGAAUAAGGAUCGGCUAACUCCGUGCCAGCAGCCGC
Molecule: ribosomal RNA, 520 nt
Filed under: uncultured Bacteroides sp.
Lineage: Bacteria; Pseudomonadati; Bacteroidota; Bacteroidia; Bacteroidales; Bacteroidaceae
Description: bacterial SSU rRNA
Rfam family: Bacterial small subunit ribosomal RNA
Source: RNAcentral